GUCACUUCCGUUGCCUUACUUCCCCCUCGCGGAAGCGCUAAGCCCCUCGGCCCUGUCUCUAUUAGAUCUGCCCUCGGAGAUCGCUCUUGUUUUCCAGAAGGGAGGGGGAAUGGUCCCUGUCAUCCAGCCAGCCAGUUUUCAGAUUGUUAUCACGACAGUUGGCGACCCAGAUGGGACCCGAGUGAGGGCCUCCAGCCCCCGGGACUGCUUCUCAGAAGAAUUCUUCUCAAAAGACUGCCCCGGAGGACGGACUCCCCCUCGGGCCUAACCUAAAUUCUUCCUAGCCAAGAUAAGUUAAACUUAUGAAUUGGAGAACUUCACCUCGAUCAAAUUAAUUAUUGGUUCUACAGUUAGGUAAAUUCAAAAUGACUGAAAAUAGAGCUAUCAAAUUGUGUAAAGACUGGUCUAAAAUAUAUUAAAAUCCAGAUAGGUCCCUGAUCUGGUACAAAGAAGAAAUGUUCAAUUAAAGGCUUUGAGGUUAUAAUCAGUAAAACUGUGCACACUGACUUUUUGAUUAAACUAAAGGAGGGAAAAACAUUUCUGGCAAGUACAUUUUGUUUGCUCAUGUGUGUUUUUGUCUUGAUAAUUAAAUUAACCCUUUUCCUACAGUUUGAUCAACUGAAAGGAAAACAAUAUAGAGGGUAAAAACUUUCUGCAGAAUUCUGAAAAGUCUUCAAAUGGAAAGUCUCAUUCAUUCUCUCUCUCUCUCUCUCUCUCUCUCUCUCUCUUUCUUUUUCUCUCUCUCUCUCUGUCUCCCUCCCUCUCUCUCUCUCCCUGUCCCUCCCCCUCCCUGACCCUUUCUACAUCUGACCAUUCUGGGAAGGGAGGGGAGGAAGUGGGAGAACAGACAAGAGACAGAAAUAAGAAGGCAGGAAUCUUUGUCUCCAAUCUGCAGGAAUUUAUGGCAUUAUAAACUAAGUAGAAACCAAAAGUUGUUUCCCAUAUUAUAAUUCUCCAAACUGUGUCUAAAAUGUUUUUGUAAAAUUUUCUUUUACUGGUCACUCUGGGGAGUGACCACAGUUUACUGAUUAAAGAAAAGGGAACUGCAACUAGUGAAUUCCAAAGAGUUCACAGCUUGUAGUCAGACCAUGGAGAAAGGAAAACUGGUUUUCAAAUCAGGGAGCAGGUGAAGAGCAAGUAAAAUUUAAUGUUCUUCCUGAAUGACACAACAGAAAUAUAUUAGGUUAAUUAGAAAUGCUAUGAAACUUGUACUGAUAAAACUAUAAUAAAUACUAAAAUAAUAUUUUCAACUUAGAGUUACUGAGGGUAGAAUUAAACAAAGGAGUUAACAGGGUGCUCAGAUUACAAAAGACCAAAUUAAAAGGAACAUAUAGCUUACAAAUAUUAGUAUAAAAUACUGAAGUCUUGAGAAAGCAAACAAAAUUUGUGAAUUAUUUCAGGCUAUUCCUUGUCUCAUUGUCUUCAGUAUUGAAACAAAUAGACAUUUUAUGAGAUGAAAUUAUGAAGCUUACAAUUUAAAACAAAUUGUUAUCAGUUGGAAGUGUAAUCCCAUAUUUUAUAAAGUACAAAUUGAUAAAACAAAUCCCAGUAUUCUGAUAAAGGAUAUGUAGGUUAGGUUGAAAAAAAAAGAAAGAAACAGAUUUGGCUUUUUAAGUGAUUUGGAAGGAAAUGGAAAAUUAUAUUCUUCAUCAGACCCAGAUUAAUUCUUGAAGGCAAAAUUGUGAAGGCAUAAUCAAAGAAUUUUUCUAAUACAAAUCAUUGUUGAAAAUUUGAUGAUGAGGCAAAUGUAAUUGGUUCAGAGAAGAUAACAAUCUGCUUCACUAUCAAAGAGCUAGUAAAAUUGUUAUAACAUUUUUUUAAACAUCAAAGUAUUAUGUCAAUCAAAAGUACUAUUUAAUUUACACUUAAUUGUUUUAAUUAAUUCUUAGCAAUUAUAGUCUCACCAUCACUUUUCGAUUUGUGUGGUUAUAUUUAAGCCAGUUAACUUUGUAAAAUUAAAACAUAAGCUGCCUGAAAACAGUAGGCUCUUGGGAAAAUUGAGAAAUAAAUAUUUUCAUUAGGGAUUAUAAAUCUAGAUUUGAUCUGGUUGAAAUUUUGUUCUGAAACUAAAUUAUAAUUGUGGUAUAUCAGAGAACUUAAUACCAAAUGCAUUUGCUAAAGGCAAUAUGCCAGAAAAAUGAAUGCAUUAAGUAAAUGAGUUAAAAUCAAACAUCAGGAAUUUGUUACUUGACUUUAGGUGAAUUACUUCACCACAGUUUUCUUUUGAUGAAUAAAUAGCAUCCAUCCCAGUCGUUGUUGGAAAAAAAGAUAAUUAUAAAGUGCUUGGCAUAGUAAGCACUAUCUAUAUAUUGUCUGUUGCUAUUGGGUUUUAGAUUAAAUAACUUUGGAGGUUAUAACAUGCCGUACUUUGACUUGAGAUUAAAACAUUAUAUUCAGGCUUUUGAUUUUUCUUGUAUUAUGUAUUAUUUCUUGUGUUGUAUUAGAAAUGUAAUUAAAAAGGUGGAUUCUCUUUUAAUUAAAUGACUGUGCUUUUAAAUAUAUACUAUUAUGCAAAAUUUUUGUAAAAUAUUGUGAAGUGCUAUUAGAGAAGCCGCUUCACUAUUGAACGGUUAAGAUGAAUGUAACAGUGUUUGAAAUUUGUGAUAAUGUGGUACCUUUUUCCCUAAAAUGUAUACUUAUUAUAAUUUAAUGAGAAGUUUGAGGACCCCCCUCCCCCUGCCAGAAUUGUGAUUUGAAUUCGUAACUGUGCUUCAGUAAAGUUAUGCUAUCUUGUAGACUCUGUGAAAGAGCUAAUGUUGUACAUUUUUAAAACUGACUGGUUACUUUUAAUUGACUGAAUUGAGGUAAUUUGACUUACUUGAUUUUGUAUUUUAUAAAUUGAACUACUAAAAGAUACUAAAAUUAAUAAAAUGACUAAAUAUUCGAUGGGUUAUAUUUAACCAUUAACCUUUUAACUAGAUAGUCAUAAUUUAUUGUUUGAAUGGUGAAGUAUGUGUGUAACUGGGAAGUUAUAUACUAAAUAUUAAAACCUAUCACUCGUGAAUUUUUUUCCUCCAGAAACUAUAUUGAAUUUAGAAAACUUUAUCAUUGGAUACUAUAUGAUUUGUAACCAAUGCUGUUGAUUACUUAUAUUCUGCCCAAACAUAUGGUUCAUGAAGUUUUGCUAUUUAAGGUUAAGUCUUCUGGGACAUUAAUUUGAUAUAAUUCUGAGUUUUAGAUUCAAGUAUUCUGUUACGAUCACAAACCCAAUAAUCCACCAUUCAAAGGGCUGCCUUGUUCUGCAGUCAGAGGACUGCUACAGGUGGAUAUUUGCCUUUGGAAGAAAGUUGAGAGGACAACCUUGCGAAGGUGAAGGUAGGAUCCUCUUAACUUGAUUUCCAGUUGAGCUGCUUCCUUUUCAAACAGGAAGUUUUCCCACCUGGAUAAUUUUGAGCCUUUUGGUACCCUGUGAAUAAUACGGAGCUUUGGCAUGAUUGGCUGUUAACUGUUGCUCUGGUGUGGAAUCGAAAUAGAGCUUAGUGUGUUUUUCCCUUGUUGCAGCUUCUCAAUAUAACUAUGUCCCUCCUUUUCCUUUCAUAGCAAAUUUCUGAAAUAAGCUCUUGGAAUGAAACAUUUCAGCUUAUAAAGUGGAACCAUAUUCUAGAGAUUUAUGGCAGGUAAUCAAUUAUUAGUACUGAAAUAACUGAGUUAUAUAAAUAUGAAAGAUCUUCCAUGAUUUUCGUCUGGUUUGUAGCUAUAUUCAUGUAUAUGCUAUAGUAAUAAUAUUGUCAUAAGGGGAAUGAGAGGGAGAUUUGACAGAUGUAUAUGACAAAGUUUUCAAAAUUGCAUUAAGGACUUCAACAUAUAAAAUUGCAUUGAUAAACUAUCAAUAGUUAUGAAGAGAGUAUAAUUAUUUUCCUAUUUAAAGUAUUUAUCUUACAAUUUUAAGAGAAAGAAGAUCUUAUUUUCCAGUUCAGACCUUCAUGGACUCUUUAUAAGAUCAAAUAUAGGGUUUAAGUAAAGAUAGAAAACGGCAACUGAAAUUCUCGGAAGUUUCAGGGAAUUAAGGGUUCUUAAUUUGAUGUUCUUAUAGGUCUGUUGUUAAUAAAAUCAGAACCAUAAGGCUUGAACUGGUUUUUUACCAUAUGAACUAGUUGUUGUACUAAGUUGUAUUGAGUUUGUAGUAAGUCUUCCUGCAUGCUCUUGGAACCUGAGAAGCAGAUCUGGAAGAAGGAGCAACAUUUGUGGCCUCCAACAUCCAAGCUGAAAGCCCUCCACAAGUGUGGACUGCAGUAUAACUUGACCUUUGGACUUUGUCAUCUGUCUACAUCAAGAAUUUCCAGUGACCCAGCAAAACUACUUUGUCAAUGUCCUCACUUCUCUUUUCCUCCAUGCGCCACUGUCUUUGUACCAAAGGGGACUGCCCCCUGAAAAUUUUUGUCAAUGCGCCGGCCAUAGGUACUAAGGUUGUAAGCUGUAGAUCAGCCCACUUACUUUUUGGUCUUAAAGGAUUUGUGCUAAAAUUCUAGCACUACCAUCAGUCCAGCACUGUUGCCUACAGCCCCCUGUCAUGACAACUGGAUAAUGAAUAAUGCUGUCAUUGGACUUCAUUGUCAAGUAUGACAUAAUAUGCCCCUUGGACCCCAUGGGUGUUGAAUCUGUCACCAGCUCUAUGAAAGCACUCUCGAAUCAUGGAUACCUAUUCCUGUCCUAAGUCCCCUUGUUCUCAUUUGCUGCUAAUUCCUUGUGGGAUGAUCCUUAUUUGGAGGGUUCUCCUGGGUGUUUUCUGACUGGGAGAAGUGGGCAUACUAAUCUCUGGCCUUCUCUAAAAUGUUGUAUGUACCAGUAGAGUGUUCUCACAGGGUGACUUUGCAGAGACAAAGUUAACCCAUGGUGGUUUUUUCCCUGUAAUUAUUGCUUUCCGUAUUUUAUGAUGUUUAUGUGAAUUUCCUCUCUCAGCCUGAUUUUGCAUACCUAUACAGUAUCCCCAUUGCUAAGGGAUGCUGAUCAUGUCAAAUUAUAUUGAUUUAGUUUUUAGAUGGUCAUUCAUGGGAGACAUGUCUCCCAAAAAUCAAAGCAAGAAAUUGUGGAAUUAAAAAUUGAUACUCCAUUUUAUUUUGUAUUAUUUAUUAAUAUUUAAUUCACUAUGUAUUGGGUGAUCAGGUUGCUGUGUAUUAGUCACUCUCCUUUAGUUUGUGAAGUUGAACUUAAGCCUACAGCUGCAAGCUCCUUAUUUUUAACACAAGUCACCGUCUAACAACAAAGUAAUCAUGCAUUGCUGGCUAAGCCACCCUGUUUUUGUAUCCCCAUGUACAUUUUAAUAACCACAAGGACAGACAACUUGACUUUGUUCUACGAUCUCCGUAGUAACCAAGAAAACAACCCUGAGUGUUAGUUUCCUUUUCCUAUGUACUUUCCACUCAAAAUUUCAAUUCAAUCAGGAAUAAAUAGCAUGCCCCCUCAGAAAGCAUCAACUAGACCACAGGAGCUUUCCAGAGGAUGUUGGUCCAAAUGUUAGGCCACCUGGUGACUCGUGUAAUUUGUGGUUAGUGACCUUAGCCCCAACCAGUCAGAAGUAAGAUAUGCCUGUCUUGCCCAAGAUUGUGUAGGCUGAUCAGUUUUCUUGAAAUUGACUCUAAAAGAGCUGCUGUGACUGUCAGAUGCAUCCUUGGCUACUCAGGAGCCUUGGAUCCUGUUUAUUGCAGUUGCUAGUUUUGCUAAUAAAUUGAAUGUGCUUGGA
Trichosurus vulpecula (common brushtail) is the source of this 5680-nucleotide RNA transcript. It is a transcript of the gene named zinc finger protein OZF-like, with no coding region annotated. The record is from RefSeq and is a predicted model, not a curated record. NCBI's taxonomy places the organism in Eukaryota, Metazoa, Chordata, Mammalia, Diprotodontia, Phalangeridae. The transcript has 4 exons.